This is a long non-coding RNA of Patella vulgata (common limpet), 3776 nucleotides long. RefSeq lists it as uncharacterized. The record is from RefSeq and is a predicted model, not a curated record. NCBI's taxonomy places the organism in Eukaryota, Metazoa, Mollusca, Gastropoda, Patellidae. The transcript is spliced from 6 exons.
UCGAAUCCCCGGUUGUACGUGACAAGGAGUAGGGUCGCUUGUCCAACCUCGUGGGUUUUCUCCGGGUCCUCCGGUUUCCUCCCACUGCUAAAGACCCCUAUGCGCCAGCGAAUUAUUGAAAUAAAAUUAAACCAUAUGUUAGUCCCGAAAUGACCUAGUUUGUGUCGAGUGGACGUUAAACCCCAUUUCUCUCUCUCUCUUCAAUGUCGAAGACUUUGGGUGAUAUUGCGUUAGAGACUUAGCUACUUUAAGUACUAUGCUAAUACUGUACGCGGAUGUGAGCUCGAGUGUUGUUUCAAUAUAUUGCGCAAUGUCUUAAGCUCAAGGCCAUCAAAUAACUUAAAAUACAGACACUCGCACCUAUUUUUCUUGCGAUAUCACCUCGGUGGAAGCGGACGUAAAAUACAACCUACUUUUCAAUGAAAUACGUCACACUAGUCCAGUGUAUUCACCUAAUAUAGAUAAUGUACGAUUGGCAAGUUGAACAUGGUUAGAUCUAUUUGGCAAGGUCAAACGCAUAUUUUUCUCAAGGUCACGAGAUGUAAAUGGGGCUAUUACGAAAUCAUAUCGUUAUAUUUCGUUUAUAUUCCAUUAUUCGUAUUAUUUCAGUUUUGUCAUUAGACUGUUCUAUCUGUGCCAAUAACUCAACAUUUUGUGAUGAUUAUAACUAUACAAUAUCCACAUAUAAACCAGAUAUCUUCUGCAGUGACUUCAACAAAACAAGGGGUUUCUCUUUAUGUAUUGAAUAUAGAACAGUUGGGGGUUAUACCGUUAUAUGUGAUAUAAACGGUACAUCAAAACAAUGUGAUGACACAUGUGGAACCAAUGGAGAAGUAGAUGGUAAUUAAUAGUUUUCACAUUGUAAAUAGUAAAGUAAAUGAAUAGUAUUGAUAUAGCAAAGUUUGAAUGGAACUAUGCCAAGUAAAUGAAUAGUGCUGAUAUAGUAACGCUAAUGUACUAAAAUGAACUAUGCCAAGUAAAUGAAUAGUACUGAUAUAGUAAAGCUUGUGUACUGAAAGGAACUAUGCUAAGAACAAUUUAUAAUUCCGUGAAUUCAUGGUUCAUUGAUAAAGCUGUGUUCCAAUUUUCAUUUACAAAUAUUUAUUUAAAACACGCAAAAUUAUUAAGUUAUCAUAUCGCAUCCCUUCUAGUGUGUGUCAUUGCUACUAUUAUGCAAAUCAAUAGCAAAAAUUGAAGACAUGCUUGGACAGGAAUUAGUUAUGGUACAGCUUUCAUGAGCUCUCUGUGUUUCCUAUCCCUUUCAGUCCUAAAAAUAAAUGAAAUGCCUAAAACCUGACAUUAGCUGAUUAUACUGAGUGAAUGUUGAACCCAGUGCUGGAUUUCCCUAGAUCAAUGGAGCCUCCGCUCAAACUGUAUUGUAUUUUAGAAACACGGUAGUCUUAAACACCUGUUAGCGUCAUCGGCUGCCCGUCUCGAUUAGGUUUUUCUCCCGGGAUGAGAGGUCCGGAUCGAGUACACAGUCUCACGCAUAUUCCGCCGAAGAUCAGAAAAUUUUUUGGGAUUUUCAAAAAAUAAAGUUCUUCUGUGAUUAUUUUCAGGGUACAAAUGUGACGCCUGUGCAUAUAACACCGUGCCUAUUAAUGCAUGCGGUAAAUCUAGCAACCCAAUUAUUGUUGGUAUUCCUGAUUCAGAUGUAAUGUGUGACAAGCUACACAAAGCGCAAGCCAUCAAUAUACGGAAAAUAGGGGAGGGCUUAUCGCUGACAACGAGGACCCACGUAUAGGCCCUAUCCCGGAAUGACAGCUGUCAAUCUGUAAUUGUGAACAUGUAAACUGAUGUCGGAAGCCAAUCUCGUCCCUAACCACACCUAAAUAAAGAUGUUGAAUAUUUUUCUCGCCGUCUACUGAAGCCAAUCUCAUCCUUAACGUCGAGAGGUACGAUAUAUCAAUCACAGACUAACACCAACUAAACACAGAUAAAGAAAGAUGUUUAUUAUUUUGCUGGCCGUCCUCGUCUUAAUUAAUGUUAAUGUACCCGUAUUUGGUCUCUACAAGUUAUAUAGAGGAAACAUAAUCCCAGAAGAUGGAUAUAUUGUCAAGCGGCAUACAGUCAUAACCCGGACCCAGUGUGCAUUAAUUUGUUUUAAUACACCAACCUCGUGCCGAUCAUUCGCCUACCACUCGAUAAAUAAAGAGUGCUGUGAGCUAUCCCCGAGUUUCAUACCAAUACAGAAACCAACAACGGGCGUUGGCUGGGAAUACUGGGGAGUUUGUUCACGGAGAGAUUCGUGUAUAGAAGAUGAAAUAGAUGGAAGGUGUUUUUGUCUGAAGAAAAAAAUACGAAAAGUGAACAAUGCUAAAACUUACUGCGAAUCACGGGGCGGUAAUCUAGCCAUAUUAAACACCACCAAUUCAUUUGAACGUGUUGAAAGCCUAUUGUUAGAAGAGGGAAAAGAUCUUACAAAUGUAGCAAUUGGUGCCAAUGAUGACGCUGAAGAGGGCAUUUUUCAAUGGAAUGAUGGCACACCAGUAAAUACUUUUGGUAAAUUGAAAAUAACACUAACUGGCCCUGGUUAUAUAGAGAACUGUCUAUCAGUAAGGUUGGGGAAAUCUGAUUUCACAUAUGAUGAUAUAAAUUGUGAUAUUAAUCUGUUUCCUUUUAUUUGUGAAAUGAAAAUGUAACCGACUGAUCUACAAUUUCCAGCUAAAAAAUAUUAAAGUUAACCAAUAAUGUUAACGGAGAGGGGUUGUACAUAGGCUAAAUCUGUUCCCCCAUUCCCAAUUAGAUAUCCUGAAUAAAAAUAUUGUUUAGAAAACUUUAAAUUUAUCAAUAUAUAAUACUUACAUCAAAAUAAAGAGUUGAUAUAUUUCUAUCGAUUUCUGAUGGCAUAUGUUCCCUCCGAUUUUACAGAUAUUUCUAUAUUAAAUGAUUUAAUUCCGUUUUGUUUUAAUGUCGAUUGUUUAUAAGGGCAUUAUGGAUGAUUAGAUAACGAUAAUAGUUAAAAACUAGAUAAUGUAAAGGGAACAUGCUGACAAUUUCAGUCAAAUUGCUCCACUCUGAACCGAGAUAUUAGCGGCUGAAUGUUAGGCCUACCCUUGAUUAGUAUUGCUAAACUCGGUACGAUAAAAAAAAAAACAAACAUAGUCUCGAUUAUCCAUUUUUGCAUUUAUUCAUCAAUGAGCGUUGAGUAGCAGAUCGAAUUCAAACCCAGUGAAAAUCGAAUACAUAAGAUGGCAUCGAGAGUUAAUUAUGAUCCGGUACAGUGGUACACACAAACUAUAAACGUUAAUUAUGAUCCGGUACAGUGGUACACACAAACUAUAAACGUUAAUUAUGAUCCGGUACAGUGGUACACACAAACUAUAAACAAAGUGUUUUAACUAUUUCUGGAAUAAUAUCACCUUUUUCAGCGCGUUUGCCUGCCUUUAGUAUAGACAUUGCUAUCUGUAUUUCUGAAACUGUAAUUUCAUUAUCAAGGUAGGGGACGCCAUUAUGAUAUAGUAUAUAAAUAUAGGGUUUUUUUUUUCAUUUAUAAAUGAAGUGCCAUGAGAUUGAAAAACAUUUUUAAAUUUAUGUUCAUUGAAAUCAGACAAAUUCAGCUGGGAGGAAUGCUGUGGUGCAUCUAUACCAUUUUUUAUAAAGUUGCAUGUUUCUCCAGAAUCCUAUAGGGCUGUAGCCUUUUUAUAUUAUUUUAGCCCAGACCUGUAUCUGUACAAUAUGGUAGCAUGUUUUUUUUUAAAUAGGGGUAUAUUUAUAUUAGCUCGGCUGUGGUCAGUUUCUGCUUCAAUAAAAUAUUUGUAUUCUUUAUAAAUUCA